This is a transfer RNA of Camelus ferus (Wild Bactrian camel), 72 nucleotides long. It matches the Rfam family "tRNA". Rfam says of the family: Transfer RNA (tRNA) molecules are approximately 80 nucleotides in length. Their secondary structure includes four short double-helical elements and three loops (D, anti-codon, and T loops). The record is from Rfam. Lineage: Eukaryota; Metazoa; Chordata; Mammalia; Artiodactyla; Camelidae.
GGGGGUAUGGUUCAGUGCUAGAGUGUGUGCUUGCUAUGCACAAGGUCCUGGGUUCAAGCCCCAGUGCCUCCA